RNAcentral lists this long non-coding RNA (246 nucleotides) under Phoenix dactylifera (date palm). Its description in RNAcentral is "long non-coding RNA (PDAC_LNC012209)". Lineage: Eukaryota; Viridiplantae; Streptophyta; Magnoliopsida; Arecales; Arecaceae. The record is from RNAcentral.
AGCCAAGAGGGGGGGGGGGGUGAAUUGGUUUCUCUUAAUUUUUACUAUCUUACUUAUGUCAAUUGAUGAGUUAGUGAAAUAGAACAAAGCACAAUACAAACACACAGGAAGUAUAGUGGUUCGGUGCUCUCCUAAGCACCUACGUCCACUCCCCAAGCGACCCCUUCGGAAUUCACUAUAAUCCCGCGGAUUACAGUUGGAUUGUUUUCCGGGCUCACAAUCCAAAAAUCUUUACACUUUGGUUUU